Molecule: microRNA, 23 nt
Filed under: Daphnia pulex (common water flea)
Lineage: Eukaryota; Metazoa; Arthropoda; Branchiopoda; Diplostraca; Daphniidae
Description: Dpu-Novel-7_3p (mature (guide))
Source: RNAcentral
UUACAUAUUUCUGUUAGGUUCUU